Molecule: long non-coding RNA, 2356 nt
Organism: Bubalus bubalis (water buffalo)
Lineage: Eukaryota; Metazoa; Chordata; Mammalia; Artiodactyla; Bovidae
Exons: 3
Source: RefSeq, a predicted model, not a curated record
GUCAGUUUCUGUUGAGGAGAAGAAACAGGUGAGACAUUUCCUCUUACCAUGCUGGCCCUGCUGGAAGAUUCUCCACUUGGAGAGACUCAAGAAGCUGCCCAAGGGGACACAGUUCAAGAACGCGGAGGUCCGAGCCCCCAGGCUGCCUGUCCCCUACCCAGCGGCAGUGACAGCAUAACCUAGCAGAGUCCCACGAAGCCCAGACAGCAUCCUAGACGGACACAGCCCGGCCCAGAGGACCUUCAUUUAAAUCAGGGAUUUGAAUUUUCUCAUCUGCAAAAUGGAGAUAAGCCUGCACGCCCUGCCCUACACUGAGCAGCUGGAGGGCAGGACACAGACUUCAGGGCCCCCCCACCCCUAAGGCCUUGCUGUGAUGGGGAGACCGCCUGCCCACCUGGUAAGCCUCCUGCUGCGGGGGGACCCGCCCAUGGUCGAUCACCUGGGACGGCAGGAAGUGGAACUGGAUGUCCGGAUGGGGGACCCCAGGCUGGCUCCGGAUGAAGCCCCCUGUUUCCAGAUGGGCCGUGGCUCCAUACCCUGAGGAUCAGAAGACGAUGAGGAGGCAGAAGAGCAGUCCUGGCAUGGCAUGUGGGUCAGACUCCUCUCUCUGGGUAGUUCCGCCUCCACUUCCUGGCCUGUGUUCCAGUACUGGACCCACGUCCUCAACUUUCCUCUUUCCCCAGGUGGGCCCACCCAGCACCAUGGCUUUCAGUAUCAACUCCAUGCCAAGAGGCUGCAGCUUUGCCCCCCUCCCGACUCCACCACUGCCAACGCGACUGUGGGACUUGAUGUCACACGGGCGUCCCAAACCUGCCCCAGCCCCACCCCCGCCUACACUACAGUAGUGUCACUGCAAGUCAGGAAACACUCUUCCCCAUCAGCCCCCACCACAUCUGUUAGAAGGUCUCCAUCUUCAGCUCCAAAAUCAACUUCAGCCACCUUCUCGGCACUACCACCCACACCCCAACCUCCAUCCAAGCCCCCAUCACUUAAGUGGUGGUGGCUGGUGCCCAGCCUCUUUGUGCCUCCUGCAGCCCGCCCAUCACACACAGACCGCGAUCAAGGUCAAGUCCCUCCUCCAUCCAAUCUCCCAGUGUUGUAGGAAGGGGGAACCCCUUCUGAGGCCCAAUAGUAGGCUCUUAUCUAAUUCUUGGAAGUGAUUCAUCAGAGGAGACACACAUUCUGACAGAGCAAAAGACUUUGUUGGGAAGGACCACACCCCCCAACCCAGGCUGGAGAGCAGCAGGGUGAGGGACCCAGGAGAACUGCUCUGCCACGUGGUUCGCAGUCUCGGGUUUUCUGGGAAUAGGGUUAGUUUCGGGGUCAUCUCUGGCCAGUCAUUUUGCUUGGCCCAUAGUCUGACUCUGGGUCCCUCUUGGUGGCAUCUGCAUCUCUUAGCCAAGAUGUUGAAGGAUUGAAGGAUUCACUCAACCAGAGUGAAGGAUUCUGGGAGGCUGGUCUUCUCCUCCUGCUUUUGGCCCCUCUCCUGAAUCCUCCUGGUUAUUUUUCAGUGGCAGCACCGUGUUCCUUCUUGACACCUCCUGUUGUGAGACAGCUGAGGAAGUGGUCAUCAUGUGCCUGGCCAAGGCAGGUGGUUUCGGUCUCAGGCCCUAGAAGAGGUCCUCCUUCCUGCAACAACUGACUGGUAGGAAAUCUUCUUUGCUACGACUGACUUCCUGACCAUCAGGGAUCAGCUUGCAUGCUGAUGGACCAGACCCAGCAGCCAGCACUGGGACCCUUUAAAUGUCCCUGGCCUCCUCCUGAUAUGCACGACUGGCCAGAGCUUCCUAACCAGAGGCAUUCACAUAAAAUGAGAAGUCUCAACAGCCGAGUUAACAUACCUCUUGGGAGAAUGUGGGAGGGGCCGAAAGAGGGAGGAAACGAUCAACCUCCCCGAACCUUCCAUUCUGGAGUCCACUCUGGCUGCGAGACGUGCACGUCACCAGGAAGAACCACAAGGCAGAUUAUCAGCCAAGCAAGACGACCAGCCAGAGGCAACCCAGAAACUAACUCCUCACCUUGAAACCUGAGACCGUGAGCCAUGUAGCAGAGCAGUUCUCACGGGUUCUCUUCCCUGGCAGCUCUUCAACCCAGGGGCCCCUUCCCAAUAAAGUCUUUUGCUGUGUCAGCCUGCUUGUCCCCUCGGACAACUCAUUUCCGAGCGCCCGCCCUGGGGCCUUGGCAGGCCCUGCCACACCUGCACCGCCGCCGCCUCACUGCAGUUUCCCUGGCCAACAGAUUUGUUCUUCAAACACACCGAACGCCUGCCCCCAGGGCCUCUGCAUGUAUUCUUCCUGCCUAACAGGCCCCACGCCACCAAUCUCUAGUUUAACACCCUGAUUAUUCCUUCACUGUA